CCAGGACAGCAUGAACAACCCUAACAGCAGUCUGGCUCUCCGCUCCCCUACUCGCUGCCUUAUCUAGAAUGUGGGAAGCGUGCAAAGCAGGGAAACACUGGGAACGGGGGCCACCAGCGCGGGCGGCAGAUAAACACACAAUGAGCUGGCACAGCCACAAGCCGAGAGGCUCAUUCUUCCCCGGAUUCAGACUCGUUAUCAGCGUUUCCGUGGAAAACACGCACAGAAGGACGGCAGCAGAGGAAGCGGGAGGCCGGCACGGCCGAGGGGCACUCACCUCAUAGCCCUUCUCCAGCAGGAACUCGGCCAGUGUGGACCCUGGACAGAAAGGAAAUAAGAGUUUGGCCUGGUGCCUCUGCUCUGAAAGAAGCUGGAAAGCCAGCAUCUCCUGGCCGAGACAGGAGGAGACUCCCACUCGGGCUCGGCCCUGCACACCCCACCCUCGUCUGCACACCCACACGUGGGCAGGGUGAGAGCAGCCCCCACGGGGCCUGUACAGCUCACGCUCUGCUAUCAGACGACUCCAGUAGACACAUGAGUCACGGGCAGAGGCCAGGCUGCUGGAUAAAGGAAAAGCCAUGAAAUUCUCCCACGCCGACCUGGUCUGUCCUGGACGGCACCGGGCCCGGGAAAUAAAUCCCCACCCUCCAGCCUGACAUCAAGGUGGGAGAAACUGAGGAGAUGCAGGAAGCAGAUCCGUGUCAAAAUCCUUUUAAAGAUCCGCCUGACUGGCCAGGGCAGUGCCGCUGUGAAUACCUCCUUUCACGUCUAGAACAAUAUACCAACUGGAAGUGCUUAUAACUCAAGGCUCCAAAUACACUGAUAAAGACUGGCUCAGGUCUGCAGAGAAGUGAAUAAUAAAUUACCAGUAACCUUCAUGCUUAAAAACAAUCUCGUUGUAUUAAGUGGAUGCAUAAAUUAAAACUGUGCAGAAGUUGAAAAUUGCGUUUCUCCCUUUCCUUUUCCCUUUCUCAUUAUCUCGCAAAGCGACAGUCCAGGCAAUUAAAGACUGUUUCUCUGCAAAGCACAUGCUUUUUUCCGUAGCUCUAAUCGUCCGAGUGAUUUAUAGAGGAAAUGAUUUUUUGCAGGUACUCUAACUAAAACAGAGCUGCUCUGUGUGCUGUGUUGAAGACCACGCUUAAUGAAAAACUCUAAAUUUGGAAGCGGGAAAAAACUUCAUACUGAAAAGAGGAGAAUUAUUAAAUUUUCGUAUUUACCCGACUUAGUAAUUUUCCCCGUACACUUCUUUUUAAAAUCCGUGCCCUGGCUGAUGGAGGAACGCAAGACAAAUGUCCUUUUGUUUAUGGCUGUAUAAGGGUCAUGAGAAUGACCAAAGGAUGCACCUAUAGAGGACUAGACCUUUUUUCAUUUUACUGCAAUUCAUUGAUCAGGUUGUUACUUAAAGUCACUGCUGGUGACAAGGAGGGUUUAACUAUUUACAAAGAUUCCUGUUCUCUUCAACCCAAUCUCUUUCAGGGAUAUCAUUAGUUGGCACAAUCAGCUCAGACUGUUUCUGCCAUGAGCGGAUGACAGAAAUGUCACUUACAGGCACCCUGCCCGUUUCAGAUCUGCUUUUGCCAGGACGGAGUCCCCACCAGGCUGGAGACACUGUAACUCGCAGAACCGUGAUACACAUGUAACAAAAUCACUGAAGGGCAGGUGAAGGGCAAGCGGGUGCGCACACGUGUACAUAACCGCCCAGAAAGCAGCGCUGCGUAAAUCAAACUGAGGAAGGCAGAUAAAGGAAGGCGGCGUGCCUGCCCGGCCCCAGGACUGCGCCCGCCUCGUGGCCUGUGCUGGCUGCGGGCAGGUUCGUCUGGUCAAAUGCCAUUUCGUGGACUAGGAGAGCUCUGUGUUUAUCUGCUGGGGCUGCUGUGUUUGGCAUGGGGGUUCUGCCACUCAGACAAGGUGUCAAGAAACACUUUGGGGAAGAUCAGACACUUGACAGCGUGCCUGCAAGCUCCCUCUCCUCAUCAGGGCCUUUCGGCCCAUCCCACCCCGAUAGGUUUCAUCUGGGUGUGUUUCUAGCCAGCUCGGCCCAACACACGACUUGUGCAGGUUCACACCUCUGGCUGGUGUCACCUUGACAUUUUGCUGUCUUUCGGCAGUAGCAAUGGGGCUUAGCUAUUAUUCAACCACGCACUCUUGAAAAAGCACUACAAAGCUGUAUGUUUUCAUCCAAGAGAAGUGCGUGCCAACCAUGCACUUCUUAAACUUCGACUUAAUAGGACUGGGAGGAAACACCAAGACGACUCCGCCCUACCGAAGACCGGGGUCUCGGAAGGGUGUUGGGGGUGGGGUGGGUCCCUGGGUGGAAAUACUGUCCACCUGACAGGCCACGUACCUGACUCCCAUCCUGGUCACAGCAGCGCCAAGCUCCAAAUUCCCGAACUUGCCCGGGGCUCAGACUGAAACCCUGGAGUCCCUGACCCGCUUACCUCCUCACACCCACCGGGCUCUAUAGCCUCAGAACGCGCCUGCCUCUGACGACGGCUUUGCUCCUGCCGUAGGGCCUAGUGGGGAUACUUAACAACGUUUUGUAAAUGGGGCACCCAUUUGCAGAAAUUGAGAGGUUUUUUUUUUUCCCUACCAAAACAGCAGGCUUAAAAUUCAGAUAAGCUACCACUGCACAUGACACCUUUCGGUAGAUGUAUAGCCAACUCAAUCUGCCAUUAAAGCACAUGGGUUCCUCCCAGUAUUUAUAAUUAUCUCUAAUCAAAUUAGCAAUCUCUUACAUUCCCAUAAUUCUCUAUGGUUGCCAAACACUAGAGGACAUGCUUCCCAUCGAUAUCUCACAACAUCCUGGUGAGAUAGCUGAUAUUAUCCCCAUUUUUCCAGACUAGAAAACUGAACUUUAGAAAGCGUAAAUCCUUGUUCAAGGCCAUAGAGCUACUUAGAGAGCUUGGCAGAACAGGAAAGCAAUCUGUCCGGUCCUAACUGCGUGUUACUUCCAUGUUACUUCUUCAAUCAAAAUAAAAAUGCUUCAACCAAAACAAGGUGCCAACCAAAA
This 3010-nucleotide long non-coding RNA is filed under the name Sus scrofa (pig). RNAcentral describes it as "lncRNA (ENSSSCG00015005509.1)". The record is from RNAcentral. Lineage: Eukaryota; Metazoa; Chordata; Mammalia; Artiodactyla; Suidae.